GGGGGAGAGGCAGAGCUCUGAAGAAUGCAAGGCCUCAAGCCUGGUCUAUUGGGCAGCACGCCAUAGCCUAUGCCUUGGUCCUGUCAAGACCCAUCUAGAAGCUGCUGGCCUUGCUGGGCUCUUCUCCUUCCUAUUCACUGUCCCCUGUGUGAUCUGAUCCUCGCAGACCCACGUCCUCCUAACACAGCUACAGCUGGCCACCACAGGUCUAAGAACAAGAUGCGGAGACUGAAGUUCGGGUAGAGCGAUGGCUAAACCACUAAACUGCGGAUGAUGGGGAUCUAUUCCUGUGCUUUCUCAACCCAGUCACCCCCUCUGACCUCUGCUGGACAGACCCGAGGACAGGGAAGUCCCCUCUAGAGAAGAGGGCUCAGACCUACUGCAGCACAAGACCAAGGGACAGAGAGACCCUCUGCACAAGAAGCUGCCUGCCAACCAGACCCACAACCUCAGCCAACUCCUACCUAUGCAGCCCAACCUAGGCUGCUACUUCCAAUGGGACGCAGGUUUCUCCAAACAGCAAAGCAUGUGGGCUCCAUCUGGACAGGCCUGAGUCACAGGAGAACACCCUGCCCACCCCAGCUACCCUCAGCAAGGUCAG
Molecule: long non-coding RNA, 601 nt
Filed under: Mus musculus (house mouse)
Lineage: Eukaryota; Metazoa; Chordata; Mammalia; Rodentia; Muridae
Description: predicted gene 44781
Source: RNAcentral